UGCCUAAAUAUAACUAAAGAGAUCCAUUUAUUUUUAGUGUUUGAUUAAAAACCCUCAAAGGAAAAGAGAAAUUUUGAUCUUUGAGAAGAGCUGUUUCAUCACAGGGUGAAGUUGUUUCCUGAGCCCUUUGAUCUGAAAUGACCUUGCGACCUGGAACCAGCAGACAGCCUGAGGGAGGCAGUGCAUGUUCUGAGCCAGGGCCUCAGGAGGCCUGCAGCUGCCAUUCUGCUUCUGUUGGAACAUGACCUCCUUGAGAACACUCCCAGGCCUGACUGCAGGGUGGGGAGACCACACAGAGCAGAGCCGAGCCACCGGGAUGAGGCCCCUAGAUCACCCAGCUCCCAGCUGACCACAGAUCAUGAGUGAUCCCGUUUCUCCCUAGGUCAAGGGUGAUGUUUUGCUCAGAGAAAACUGAAGUUUGGAUUGUUCCAGUCCUGCAUCACAUCCUGUUUCAGGCUGCCCUAAAACAAAACCAGAAACAACCAUCACCACAAAACACCAUACCUUCAAUAGUCUUCUCAGUGUUCAGAAUAAAGGCUCUGGUUUUCC
RNAcentral lists this long non-coding RNA (549 nucleotides) under Homo sapiens (human). RNAcentral describes it as "non-protein coding lnc-RFX8-1:2". The record is from RNAcentral. Lineage: Eukaryota; Metazoa; Chordata; Mammalia; Primates; Hominidae.